RNAcentral lists this ribosomal RNA (396 nucleotides) under uncultured bacterium. RNAcentral's name for it is "bacterial SSU rRNA". It matches the Rfam family "Bacterial small subunit ribosomal RNA", at positions 29 to 416 of the family's 1533-position model. The record is from RNAcentral.
AACGAACGCUGGCGGCGUGCUUAACACAUGCAAGUCGAACGUGAAAGACUUCGGUCGAGUAAAGUGGCGAACGGGUGAGUAACGCGUGGGUAAUCUGCCCUCGGGCGGGGGAUAACCUCUCGAAAGGGGGGCGUAAUACCGCAUGAGACCACGGCUUCUUGGAGCUGUGGGAAAAGGUGGGUCGCAAGACCAGCCACCUGAGGAUGAGCCCGCGUACCAUUAGGUAGUUGGUGGGGUAAUGGCCUACCAAGCCUGAGAUGGUUAGCUGGUCUGAGAGGACGAUCAGCCACACUGGGACUGAGACACGGCCCAGACUCCUACGGGAGGCAGCAGUGGGGAAUAUUGCGCAAUGGGGGGAAACCCUGACGCAGCAACGCCGCGUGUGUGAAGAAGGCC